AAAUUGAAGAGUUUGAUCAUGGCUCAGAUUGAACGCUGGCGGCAGGCCUAACACAUGCAAGUCGAACGGUAACAGGAAGCAGCUUGCUGCUUCGCUGACGAGUGGCGGACGGGUGAGUAAUGUCUGGGAAACUGCCUGAUGGAGGGGGAUAACUACUGGAAACGGUAGCUAAUACCGCAUAAUGUCGCAAGACCAAAGAGGGGGACCUUCGGGCCUCUUGCCAUCGGAUGUGCCCAGAUGGGAUUAGCUUGUUGGUGGG
Molecule: ribosomal RNA, 259 nt
Filed under: Escherichia coli
Lineage: Bacteria; Pseudomonadati; Pseudomonadota; Gammaproteobacteria; Enterobacterales; Enterobacteriaceae
Also listed under: 1 other name
Description: partial 16S ribosomal RNA
Rfam family: Bacterial small subunit ribosomal RNA
Source: RNAcentral